CCCUUAGACGUUCUGGGCCGCACGCGCGUUACACUGACCAGUGCAACAAGCAUCCGUCCUUGGCCGACAGGCCCGGGCAAUCUUUGAACGCUGGUCGUGAUGGGGAUAGACUUUUGCAAUUUUUGGUCUUCAACGAGGAAUUCCUAGUAAACGCAAGUCAUCAACUUGCAUUGAUUACGUCCCUGCCCUUUGUACACACCGCCCGUCGCACCUACCGAUUGAAUGGUCCGGUGAAGCCUCCGGAUUGGCGCGCACCUCGGUGCCGCCGAGAAGUUGGCUAAACCUUACCAUUUAGAGGAAGGUGAAGUCGUANCA
This 315-nucleotide ribosomal RNA is filed under the name uncultured eukaryote. Its description in RNAcentral is "partial 18S ribosomal RNA". It matches the Rfam family "Eukaryotic small subunit ribosomal RNA", at positions 1470 to 1796 of the family's 1831-position model. The record is from RNAcentral.